Molecule: ribosomal RNA, 253 nt
Filed under: uncultured Caldilinea sp.
Lineage: Bacteria; Bacillati; Chloroflexota; Caldilineae; Caldilineales; Caldilineaceae
Description: partial 16S ribosomal RNA
Rfam family: Bacterial small subunit ribosomal RNA
Source: RNAcentral
UACGUAGGUGACAAGCGUUAUCCGGAAUUACUGGGCGUAAAGCGCACGCAGGCGGUGCGUUAAGUCUGACGUGAAAUCUCUCAGCUUAACUGGGAGGGGUCGUUGGAGACUGGCGGACUUGAGGCGAUGAGAGGGGUGUAGAAUUCCCGGUGUAGUGGUGGAAUGCGUAGAUAUCGGGAGGAAUACCAGUGGCGAAAGCGGCACCCUGGCAUUGGCCUGACGCUCAUGUGCGAAGGCGUGGGGAGCGAACGGG